CUUUCUUUCCUUCUGUGGAUUGUUCUUCUCCCUUGAGCCCCUUAGACACCUUCCCUCCUCAGCCUCUUCAUAAGCCUUUAUUCCUAUCUUGAUGCAGGAUAGUUCGCUCUGUGUGCGUGUAAAGAACCAGAGCUGGCUAUGCCAUGACUUCCAUAUCUACUACUACUGGCUAGAUGUCACCGUGCAAAAUAAGAAGAUCAAAGUGUUCCCUGAUGGCGCAUCGCAGAUGAUGCCUAAAAUCUGUCUCCCCAUGAUGCUGUGUUCAAAGAGCAAAGCGCACAUAGGAGGCGGAAUCCUUCUCACCUUUCACCAGUUUGACCAUUGGGGGCAAGAAGCCAGCAAAGAAGAAACACAAAGUUUUCUUGUGGAAAUAUAUUACCCGAAGAAGCCUAUGAAUAUGAAGUUGUUUGGGCAGAAAGAUUUUCUCUUUCUAGCAACAUGAACAAGAAACUUUCGUUUGCUUUAGAACCUGAGAGUAUAUUUGAAGGUGAAGAUUGCACUCUAUAAUGGAGUACAGUUCUGCCAACGUAAAGCAAAGUCUACCCACAUAGGCAUCAUGUGGCAAGUAAGAAAACUGCACAGUUGAACAGACCUUAAAACAGUUUCCUUUUUAAGAUCUCUGCUUUGCAUAGAUACUAGACUUUGCAUCCUGCGGUUUAUUGCAUUCCUUCUUUUAGUUACACCUAGUUUAUUAGAAUGUAAAGAUCUUGGAAAAAAUCUCUGACUCUAUGAAAACUUUUUAAAGUGUGGAAGGCCAAGAGACUAAUUCCUUCUUUGCAUUCUCAGAUGCAAUCUGCAAAUGAGAGUUAAAAUCAGAGUUGUGAUUUUUUUUAUGUCUUUUAGUCCCCUUAGCUGAGUUUAAACCUUUUUACAAUAGCCUCUGGCCAAGGCUGACAUGAUUGUGUAUUCCUGAAGCCCUGGAAUCUAUGGAGAAAGCAAGAAUUUAUUCCAUUCUGUAUUAGAUUUCAAUCUCAAAGCCAUUAUUUCCUUUUCUGGUGUCUUGUUUUCUACUUUGUUUUACUGCAUGGGUUAUUGUUCACAUUGACUUUUUAUAUUCAGAAGAGAUAUAUUAGAUCUCUCUCUCUCUCUUCUUUCUUUUUUUUCUUUUCUUUUUUAAAAAUGUUUCUAGCAUAGCAAAGAAACGUUAGCAAAGAUUACAGAAACAUUAGCAAAGAUUACAGAAGAAGGCAUGUGUGUUACCACUAACAUAAGAGAUAGCAUCAUGCAUUUUCUUUGUUUGUACAAAUCCUGUAAGGGAAUAUGUUCAAGUAGAAGAAGAAAGGGUAAUGUAUGGCCCUCCAGAUUUUGGACUUCAGCUUCCCUGAGCCCUUGCCAUGUAGUCAGUGGUGGACAGUUACAGGAGAUGUACUCUACUAACAUCUGGAGGGUCAUGUAUUUAUCACCUUUGAAGUACAUCUUAGUUUAGACACCAUCUGUGGGGA
This is a long non-coding RNA of Pogona vitticeps (central bearded dragon), 1442 nucleotides long. Lineage: Eukaryota; Metazoa; Chordata; Lepidosauria; Squamata; Agamidae. The record is from Ensembl.